AGAGUUUGAUCAUGGCUCAGGACGAACGCUGGCGGCGUGCUUAACACAUGCAAGUGGAGCGACGAACCGGACUUCGGUCCGGGGCAAAGCCGCGAACGGGUGAGUAACACGUGGGUAACCUGCCCCGAUGAUUGGGACAACCUCGGGAAACCGAGGCUAAUACCAAAUGUGCUCACGUCUCAUGAGGGACGUGAAGAAAGGAAGCUUCGGCCUCCGCAUUGGGAUGGGCCCGCGGCGCAUUAGCUUGUUGGUGAGGUAACGGCUCACCAAGGCUUCGAUGCGUAGCUGGUCUGAGAGGACGAUCAGCCACACUGGGACUGAGACACGGCCCAGACUCCUACGGGAGGCAGCAGUGGGGAAUCUUGCGCAAUGCGCGAAAGCGUGACGCAGCAACGCCGCGUGCGGGAAGACGGCCUUCGGGUUGUAAACCGCUUUCAGUUGGGACGAAGCUUCGCCGGUGAAUAGCCGGCCGGAGUGACGGUACCUUCAGAAGAAGCCCCGGCUAACUACGUGCCAGCAGCCGCGGUAAUACGUAGGGGGCUAGCGUUGUCCGGAAUCAUUGGGCGUAAAGCGCGUGUAGGCGGCCCGAUAAGUCCGCUGUGAAAGUCCAGGGCUCAACCCUGGGAUGCCGGUGGAUACUGUCGGGCUCGAGUCCGGAAGAGGCGAGUGGAAUUCCUGGUGUAGCGGUGAAAUGCGCAGAUAUCAGGAGGAACACCAAUGGCGAAGGCAGCUCGCUGGGACGUGACUGACGCUGAGACGCGAAAGCGUGGGGAGCAAACAGGAUUAGAUACCCUAGUAGUCC
Molecule: ribosomal RNA, 802 nt
Filed under: uncultured bacterium
Lineage: Bacteria
Description: bacterial SSU rRNA
Rfam family: Bacterial small subunit ribosomal RNA
Source: RNAcentral